Nycticebus coucang (slow loris) is the source of this 5014-nucleotide long non-coding RNA. RefSeq lists it as uncharacterized. The record is from RefSeq and is a predicted model, not a curated record. The transcript has 4 exons. NCBI's taxonomy places the organism in Eukaryota, Metazoa, Chordata, Mammalia, Primates, Lorisidae.
UACCUGAGAAAUCAUCCCUGGUAAAAUGCAAAUUUAAGGAAAGGAAAAAAAGCAGAAAAUGGAAAUGUCUGCUGUUUGCCUAGAUAAAACCUUAUAAUAAGAUAUUAAUAGAGUUUCUAAAGAGCUCUGUGGUAAAAAGUUGGCUUAAUUGGAGCAAGAUGGCAGCCGAGUAACAGCUUCCUUGCAUCUGGGCACCGUGAGUCUGGGGAGAUAGGACUCCAGGCAUCUCUGGCUGGUAGGAUCUGCCUAUCAUCACCACUGAGAGGAUACAGGGAGUCAGCGAGAGACUUCUGGACCCCAAGAGGAGGACUAAAACAGUGGAAAACCGACAAGUGGUCGCGUGUGUUCAAUCCGUCUAAACCCGCCCGCAACUAAAUCCACCUGGCCAAUGAAAGAAACAUUCAACAGAAAAUAUCUUGUUUGAACAAGAGCAAACGUGCAUUGGCAUGAACCUUGAGAUAAGAAGAAGCAGGGCUACAUGACCAGACUCCCAGAAGCAGGACCAGCACAAAAGGAGUAUUUGUUUGCAGGAAACAAGAUGAAGAUGAUUGACUAGAGAUACCCAGCACUCCCUCCUUCAUCAUAACAGGACCAAAGAAGUAAUAAGACAACCACUAUCAGUGCCGUUAUGUCACCCUGUCACCCUUGUCAGUGCUGCUUUGGCACCUCAUCACUGCAUGCAGGAACCAGCUGGUACAUGGAUUGGCUCAACUUCCACCCUGUUGCACCACAAUGUCAAAGUCCAACACCUGCUUACUAACGAGCAACCAAUCUUAUCUCAUUAACACAUGCAGUUGCUUGAGGGCUUGUCUCUGGGCUGCAAAACAUCUCCAUGCCGCUGGGAGAUUGUCCUGCUCCCAGCACCUCCCUCAAGAACCAGUGGCUGCUUCUAUAAGCCUGGUGCUCAGUCUCUUACAAACCACACAUCAAAGGAGCUUCUGAGAGAAAAAUACUGGAAUUCAACAAGGAAGUGACAGGAGGUCCCUGAGACAUGGAAGGAGAGAGAAGAAAAGCAGCUGACCUGGCUAGGCUUGGCGCAGAAUCAAAAGGGUAUUUGUGAAGGAAAAAUAAGCAAGAGAUUCAUAGUACUCACAUUCCCACCGCAGAUUCCUAUAAUCCUAUCCAUAGGACAGCUCUUUGCCCUCAUAGGGCCUGAUGCUGGUAUAGAGAGCUGCCUGAAGUCCCUUCACCUGCAGUGCUCCAGACACAGAAUGCAGGCAGUGUCUCACCCCUAAGCCUCAAGCUGCUGCAUCAACUUGAGAGACCAUCUCUGCCAGACUACAUUUUUCCUUGGGACCCAAUGGCCUGCUGCCCCUACUGACACAACCAGUGCCACACACACUGGCAGAGGGCCCUGAAAGAGGACCACUUGGCUCACUGUUUCCAUCACCAGUGACUGCACACACAACCAGGGGCCUCAAGGACCUGCAUGGCUAGUAUGCCACUGCCACCACCAUAGGGCUCAAGAACUUGUCUGCCUGGAAUCUCUAUCACCAGAAAAGUAUCAAUACAGUCUCUGCUAAAAAUGACAGCCCAAACCACUGAGGAACUCACAGAUACUACUGAUGUUGAAUAUAGGUAAAAAAAAGUCAUAUGGAGACUGCACUAUUGCUCACUCCCAUAAUGAAAGUCAAAGAAGUCUAAUGAAAUAAAAUCAUAGAUGUAUCUACAGAAAAGAAUUCUUUCUCUACAAAGCCAAUCCCUAAAAUUAGAAAAAGCUAUAGUUGUACCAGAUGUACAGAUAUCAAUAUAUGAUGACAAGACACAUGAAUAUAGAUUUAAAAAAUCCUUAACAAAUACUAAAAAAUAAGCAAACAACAUAUCAAAUAGAUAAUACACCAUAAUCAACUACUAUUUAUCCUAAGCAUGUAAAUAUGAUGAAAAAUAUGCAAAUAAAUGUAUACUACACAUCAGCAGAAAGACAAAAACCACCCAUAUUAUCAUCUCAAUACAUGAGAUGAUAAAGUAUUUGAUAAAAUUCAACAUCCUUUCAUUAUAAAAUUCAGCAUCCUUUCAUUAUAAAAAUAACUCUUAAGAAAAUAGUCAUAGAAGAGACAUACCUUAACAUAAGAAAAUCUACAUAAGAUGUAUCAAACCCUAACAUCAUACUAAAUGGGAAAAAGCUGAAAGCCUUUAAGAACUGGAGCAUUAUAAGGAUGCUCACUUUCACCACACUUAUUCAACAAAGUCCUAAAAGUUUUAGGCAUAGAAAGAAAUAAAGGACAUCCAAAUAGGAAAAAAGGAAAUCAAAUUGUUUCUCUUUUCAGUUUACAUGAUUGUAGAUAUAGAAAAACCAAAAGACUCCUCCAAAAAACUCUCAGAAUUGAUAAACAAUCUCAGUAAAGUUGGACCAUAAGAAAAUCAACACAUAAAGGUCAGUGGUGUUUCUGAAAAGAAAUAACUAUCUGAAAAAGGAAUCAAGAAACAAUCUCAUUUAAAAUAGCAUAUGUAGGAAUAAAUUUAACCAAGAAGGUAAAGGACCUUUACAUACAACUACAAAACACGAUAAAAGAGAUUGAAGAAAACAAACAAAUGGAAAGACAUCUCAUGCUUGCGUGGUGAAAAAAUUAGUAUUGUUAAAAUGACCAAACUAUCCAAAGGAAUCUAUAGAUUUAAUAUAAUAUUUAUCAAAAUACAAUGCAAUUCUUCAUUGAAAUAGAAAAAAAUCUAAAAUAUAUACUAACCCUCCCAAAACAAUAAAUAGCCAAUAAUACUGGACAAAAAGGAAAAAGCUGGUGGAAUCACACUACUUAACUUCAAAAUAUAUUGCAAAACUAUAGUAAUGAAAACUAGUUGGUACUGGUUUAAAAACACACAAAUAAUGGAAAAGAAUAGGGAACCCCUAAAUCCACAUAUUUGUGUCCAUCUGAUUUUCUACAAAAGUGUCAAAAGUGUCAACUGAUUUUCUACAAAAGUGUCAUGUUUUGGGGGAAGGACACUUUUUUUUAAUCAACAUUGCCGGGAAAACUGGACACAAAAUAUAAUGGACCUUUAUUGCUCACCACAUAAAAAAUAUCAGCUCAAGACGGAUUUAAGGCUUAGACAUAAAACUUAAACUAUAAAACUGGUAUAUGAAAACAUAGGGAAAAUGUUUCAAGACAGUGGUCUAGGCAAGAAUUUCAUGGCUAGGACUUCAAAAGUUCAUGUAACAAAAAUAGACAAAAAACUAUUUUAAAAAGCUUCUGCACAGCAAAUAACAAUCAUCAAAAUCAUGCAAUUAUUACAACUUGCAUAAUUGGAGAAUAUAUUGAAAAGACAAACAUUUAUCAAUGCUGGCAAAGAUGCAUAGAAAAGGGAACUGCUGUACACUGUUGGUGGGAACAUAAACUAAUGCGUCCAUUAUGGAAAGCAAUACAGAGUCAAAAAACUAACAGUAGAACUAAUACAUCACUUCUGGGUAUUUAUCCAAAGGAAAGGAAAUCCAUACAUCCAAUGGAUGUAUGUACCCCCACGUUUGUUGCAGAACCAUUCAAAAUAGCUAAGAUACAGAAUCAACCCAAAUGUGCAUCAACAGAUGAAUGAAUAAAGAAAACAUGGUACAUACACAAUGGAAUAUUCCAUCCAUAAAAACAAACAAAAUUCUGUAAUUCACAGAAAUAUGGAUGAACCUGUAGAGCUUUACUCUAAGUGCAGUAAGCCACACAUUGAAAGAUAAAUACCACAGUUCUCUCUCACAAUUGGAAGCUGAUAAUUUUUGUUUUAGUUCACUGAAAUAGAGAAUAGAAUUGUGGGUACUGGAGGCUGAAGAGGGUUGUUGCAGCCUCUAGUGGCCCCCCAUGGCCCUGGACUCCAUCGCUGCAGAAAGGAACCAGGUGUGACAUGGAUUAGAAGUACAAGCUUGCAGGAGGUGGGCUAACCUUAUUUGCAGGAUGGCCCUGAGCAACCUCCACAGUAGCCUUUUAUUGACAUAGCACAAGACUGGUGAGAGGAGUGUUAGACAAUGACUACGUGCCUAAGGAUGGCCAUGGGCUCGGGAUCUUUCUCCCCAAGGAGCACCUGCAGACGCAUUGCCUGAGGGUCCGUUCCCCAGCUGCAAAUCAUCUUGCUCAGAGGUCAUCUGGCUCUUGGCGUACUCCACAGAGGGUGACAGGGAAAGAGAGGAUGAUGAGAUGUUUGUUAAGUGAUGCAAAAUUACUGCUAGUAGGAGGAAUGAGUCUUGUCAUUCUGUAGCACUGUAAAGUGAAUAUGGUCUCCUAUAAGUUUUGCUAUACUUUCAAAAAGCCAGCAGAGAAGGUUUGAAUGUUCACAACACCAAAAUAUAAUAAAUGUUUCAUGGAGUCCAUGGAUAAAUCACCCUGAUUGAUAAUUACAAAUUAUAUAUAAAUAUUGAAAUCUCACUGUGUAAUAUGUAUAAUUAUUACAUGUCAAUAAAAAUUAAAAACUAAUUCAUUUCCUGUGCAUUCUAUGGAGGAAUUUGGAUUUUCAAAUUUUCUUUUUCACAAAAGCAAAUAAAUUGCAUUUAACUGUAAAUAUUUAAUUUUUAAAGUCACCACAAAUAAGCUUAAAAUUAAAAAAAAUGCAAACUCAGUGCAAAUAUUAAUAGAAAUAAUAGAAGGAAAAAGAUUUUUAGUUUGUAACAAACUACAAAUUCUCAAAAAAAAUGGUACAUAGGACAAAGAUUAUUAAAAAAUAGUUCAAAAAUAGUCAGUAGGCGUUUUAAAUAAUUUACACAAAUAUUUAAUUAGGGAUUUGAAUUGCAUUAAUCCACAAUGCCGUCACGAGUUUAAUUUAAACUGUGUUUUAAAAUAACGGUUAGCAAGAGGGGGAAACUGUUAAUCUUACAUAGUGAAAAACUAAAAUGAUGUAGGCUCUUUGAAGGGCAAUUUGACAAUUAAAAAUUAAAAAUUAACAUGGGUGUAUCUUAAGAAUAAUAAUUCUAUUUCUCACAAUAUUUCCUAGAGAAAUUUAUGAACAUGAAGUUGUAUAAAAGUACAUUUGUUAUUAUAUUGUUUGCAAUGUUACCAUAUGAAAAAUAAAGUUGAUGUGUAUCUGUAUUAAAGAAGGACUAUACAGA